CUCGUCGCCGUCCUGCUCCUCAGGCCUCGGGAGCACGUGACCAGCCCCAGUCCUUUCCCCGGGCGCGUGCCGGUGCUGGGCGUCGUUACGAGCCGGUUUCCUCCCGUACCUCCGAGCGAAGGUCUCGGGGCUGCGGCCGGAGAUCUGCUUCCGUCGGGAUGGGCGGGAGGAGGCGUUGGCAGUAGAACAGACCCGCCUGACUGCGGCUUAGGAGAGAGAGAGGAGGACGCGAAACACUAUGGAGUCACGAAACACCCCUGCCUCCGGUGCCCCUGCCUCUGCCGGUCGAGGCGUGAAGGCCCCGGCGAUGCCGACGCAGCAGCCCGGGACCUCCGGGUCCCCGGCGAAGAGAGAACGGAGGCCCAGCAUGUUUGAGAAGGAGGCAUAUGCACAAAUCUUACGGGAAAGACUCAGACAAUCUGUACAUGAUGUUCUGUAUGUUGAACCUCCAUUUGAUGAAUCAAUUGCUGAUAUAGGUAAAGAUCAAUGGAAGACCAUGGGAAAAGUAAAAUAUGCUAACACAUAUAGAAUGGAGCCAUACAGGAAAUUCGAAGCUCAGUCAGUACAAAGGAAAGUUCAACAGAUACUAACGGACAAACUUAAGAAUGUCAAGUACAGUGAAGAAACAUUUUCUUUCUUGUCACUUGAACUGGCAGAUCGUGUAUUAGGAGCUGUCAAAGAAUUUACUUUCCCUCGAUAUAAAUACAUUGUAAAAAUCAUACUUAUUCAAAAAACUGGUCAGUCAAUAAAUGGGAAGCCCUAGAUAUGAGCCAGAAGUAAAAUCAUUCUCUGGUUCCUGAGGUGGAAGACGUAAGCCAAUAAGUGAAAACAGAAAGCCCCUUCUCAUUAGAGGCCAGGCUCUUCCCAGGACUAGAUCUGGUACAAACCACAUUCUGGGUUCACAAGAGAAAAGGCCGAAUGCCCCCAGCUUCUGUGAAACCAUCGAAGAAGUUCUUUAUCACUAGACCAGAAGCAGAUUAAAAGAUUUCUAGCAGAUGGAUCUGGGAUGUUGUUUGGGACACCUGGCUAGAAGCUAAACAUGAAACCGAAU
This is a non-coding RNA of Phascolarctos cinereus (koala), 1051 nucleotides long. NCBI's taxonomy places the organism in Eukaryota, Metazoa, Chordata, Mammalia, Diprotodontia, Phascolarctidae. The record is from RefSeq and is a predicted model, not a curated record.